Molecule: transfer RNA, 67 nt
Filed under: Monistria discrepans
Lineage: Eukaryota; Metazoa; Arthropoda; Insecta; Orthoptera; Pyrgomorphidae
Description: tRNA-Cys
Source: RNAcentral
GACCUUAUAUUCAAAUUAAAUGAUUCUAGACUGCAAUUCUAGAGGUGUAACAUGUUUACUAAGGCCU